UACAGAGGUCUCAAGCGUUGUUCGGAUUCAUUGGGCGUAAAGGGUGCGUAGGCGGCGCGGUAAGUCGGGUGUGAAAUCUCGGAGCUUAACUCCGAAACUGCAUUCGAUACUGCCGUGCUUGAGGACUGGAGAGGAGACUGGAAUUUACGGUGUAGCGGUGAAAUGCGUAGAUAUCAGGAGGAACACCGGUGGUGUAGACGGCUUUCUGGACCGUAACUGACGCUGAGACACGAAAGCGUGGGUAGCAAACAGG
Molecule: ribosomal RNA, 253 nt
Filed under: uncultured bacterium
Lineage: Bacteria
Description: partial 16S ribosomal RNA
Rfam family: Bacterial small subunit ribosomal RNA
Source: RNAcentral